RNAcentral lists this ribosomal RNA (154 nucleotides) under Bacillus sp. 82c. RNAcentral's name for it is "partial 16S ribosomal RNA". It matches the Rfam family "Bacterial small subunit ribosomal RNA", at positions 362 to 507 of the family's 1533-position model. Lineage: Bacteria; Bacillati; Bacillota; Bacilli; Caryophanales; Bacillaceae. The record is from RNAcentral.
UCUUCCGCAAUGGACGAAAGUCUGACGGAGCAACGCCGCGUGAGUGAUGAAGGUUUUCGGAUCGUAAAACUCUGUUGUUAGGGAAGAACAAGUACCGUUCGAACAGGGCGGUACCUUGACGGUACCUAACCAGAAAGCCACGGCUAACUACGUG